Drosophila yakuba is the source of this 364-nucleotide long non-coding RNA. RefSeq lists it as uncharacterized. The record is from RefSeq and is a predicted model, not a curated record. The transcript is spliced from 3 exons. Lineage: Eukaryota; Metazoa; Arthropoda; Insecta; Diptera; Drosophilidae.
UAGCUCAACAUCAACGACAAUAACGUAGAGUUCGAAGAAUUGAUUAAAGUUCAUGAAGUCCGGUGGAAAUUUGCAUUUUCUUCAAAUAUGGAGCCCGAACUUUUGGUGCGAGUUCUCAAAGCUUUGAGUCGUUUAGUGGUCCGAAAUUUCCACCGAUGACCGGAUCUUCUUUUGAUGUCGGAUAUGAACAUGUUAUUGAACAGGGCUUUUCUUCAAGUUUUGAUGGAUCUUUUCCGUUACGACCAGAAAUCUCUGGCCAGAAAUCUCUACGCCUGCUGCAAAAUGAUUUGAUAUGCAUACAGGUGUGGAUACUUUUUGGAAAUUAUAAAUUAAAUUGUUCUUUCAAACUUUUAUGUAAAUGUAA